Molecule: unclassified non-coding RNA, 287 nt
Filed under: Clitopilus sp.
Lineage: Eukaryota; Fungi; Basidiomycota; Agaricomycetes; Agaricales; Entolomataceae
Description: partial contains 5.8S ribosomal RNA, internal transcribed spacer 2, and large subunit ribosomal RNA
Source: RNAcentral
CGCACCUUGCACUCCUUGGUAUUCCGAGGAGUAUGCCUGUUUGAGUGUCAUUAAAUUCUCAACCAUACAAGUUUUUUCUUAGUAUGGCUUGGAUUUUGGGAUCUGCGGGUUCAUCUCUGAAUCGGCUGUCCUUAAAUGCAUUAGCAAGACUUUUGUUGCUAACUUCCAGUGUGAUAAUAUCUACGCUGUUAGUGAGCCGCAUGAAUGGAGUUCUGCUUCUAAUCGUCUUCACAGACAACCUAUGACAAUCUGACCUCAAAUCAGGUAGGACUACCCGCUGAACUUAA